UCGCAGGGAUUGUAUCCUGGGUACAUGAUUUUCUUUGUUCAGUCUGCUUUGUUUAUUGCUGGUUCAAGAGGUUCUAACACGAUUUCCAAGAAGAAGAAGCCAGUCAUUGCUGUGAAGAUGGUUUUUGAAUUGAAGACUACAAGGCCUAUCGUGCUCAUGUUUUGUUCUAGAUGAGAAUCGUGCUCAUAUUUUUGUAUAGAACUUUACUACUCUCUAUUGUGGAUGGGAAAUCACUAGUAUUGUAACUGAAUGGCUUAUUUUGGAUGGUGCAUGGUUUAUGACUCAUUUGAGGCAACAUUUAUAUAUAUAUGUAUUUGGGUUGAUCUUCUAUUGGAAA
Molecule: non-coding RNA, 337 nt
Organism: Coffea arabica (coffee)
Lineage: Eukaryota; Viridiplantae; Streptophyta; Magnoliopsida; Gentianales; Rubiaceae
Source: RefSeq, a predicted model, not a curated record